Molecule: ribosomal RNA, 446 nt
Filed under: uncultured bacterium
Lineage: Bacteria
Description: partial 16S ribosomal RNA
Rfam family: Bacterial small subunit ribosomal RNA
Source: RNAcentral
CCUACGGGUGGCAGCAGUCGAGAAUUAUUCACAAUGGGGGAAACCCUGAUGGUGCGACGCCGCGUGGGGGAAUGAAGGUCUUCGGAUUGUAAACCCUUGUCAUGUGGGAGCAAAUUAAAAAGAUAGUACCACAAGAGGAAGAGACGGCUAACUCUGUGCCCGCAGCCGCGGUAAUACAGAGGUCUCAAGCGUUGUUCGGAAGCACUGGGCGUAAAGCGUGCGGAGGCUGUUUCGUAAGUCGUGUGUGAAAGGCGCGGGCCCAACCCGCGGACGGCACAUGAUACUGCGAGACUAGAGUAAAGGAGAGGGAACCGGAAUUCUCGGUGUAGCAGUGAAAUGCGUAGAUAUCGAGAGGAACACUCGUGGCGAAGGCGGGUUCCUGGACAUUAACUGACGCUGAGGCACGAAGGCCAGGGGAGCAAAAGGGAUUAGAUACCCGGGUAGUC